RNAcentral lists this ribosomal RNA (1346 nucleotides) under uncultured bacterium. Its description in RNAcentral is "partial 16S ribosomal RNA". It matches the Rfam family "Bacterial small subunit ribosomal RNA", at positions 28 to 1381 of the family's 1533-position model. The record is from RNAcentral.
GACGAACGCUGGCGGCGUGCUUAACACAUGCAAGUCGAACGGAAAGGCCCUGCUUUUGUGGGGUGCUCGAGUGGCGAACGGGUGAGUAACACGUGAGUAACCUGCCCUUGACUUUGGGAUAACUUCAGGAAACUGGGGCUAAUACCGGAUAGGAGCUCCUGCUGCAUGGUGGGGGUUGGAAAGUUUCGGCGGUUGGGGAUGGACUCGCGGCUUAUCAGCUUGUUGGUGGGGUAGUGGCUUACCAAGGCUUUGACGGGUAGCCGGCCUGAGAGGGUGACCGGCCACAUUGGGACUGAGAUACGGCCCAGACUCCUACGGGAGGCAGCAGUGGGGAAUAUUGCACAAUGGGCGGAAGCCUGAUGCAGCAACGCCGCGUGCGGGAUGACGGCCUUCGGGUUGUAAACCGCUUUCGCCUGUGACGAAGCGUGAGUGACGGUAAUGGGUAAAGAAGCACCGGCUAACUACGUGCCAGCAGCCGCGGUGAUACGUAGGGUGCGAGCGUUGUCCGGAUUUAUUGGGCGUAAAGGGCUCGUAGGUGGUUGAUCGCGUCGGAAGUGUAAUCUUGGGGCUUAACCCUGAGCGUGCUUUCGAUACGGGUUGACUUGAGGAAGGUAGGGGAGAAUGGAAUUCCUGGUGGAGCGGUGGAAUGCGCAGAUAUCAGGAGGAACACCAGUGGCGAAGGCGGUUCUCUGGGCCUUUCCUGACGCUGAGGAGCGAAAGCGUGGGGAGCGAACAGGCUUAGAUACCCUGGUAGUCCACGCUGUAAACGGUGGGUACUAGGUGUGGGGUCCAUUCCACGGGUUCCGUGCCGUAGCUAACGCUUUAAGUACCCCGCCUGGGGAGUACGGCCGCAAGGCUAAAACUCAAAGGAAUUGACGGGGCCCCGCACAAGCGGCGGAGCAUGCGGAUUAAUUCGAUGCAACGCGUAGAACCUUACCUGGGUUUGACAUGGAUCGGGAGUGCUCAGAGAUGGGUGUGCCUCUUUUGGGGUCGGUUCACAGGUGGUGCAUGGCUGUCGUCAGCUCGUGUCGUGAGAUGUUGGGUUAAGUCCCGCAACGAGCGCAACCCUUGUUCACUGUUGCCAGCACGUUAUGGUGGGGACUCAGUGGAGACCGCCGGGGUCAACUCGGAGGAAGGUGGGGAUGACGUCAAGUCAUCAUGCCCCUUAUGUCCAGGGCUUCACGCAUGCUACAAUGGCUGGUACAGAGAGUGGCGAGCCUGUGAGGGUGAGCGAAUCUCAGAGAGCCGGUCUCAGUUCGGAUUGGGGUCUGCAACUCGACCUCAUGAAGUCGGAGUCGCUAGUAAUCGCAGAUCAGCAACGCUGCGGUGAAUACGUUCCCGGGGCU